GAUGAACGCUGGCGGCGUGCCUAAUACAUGCAAGUCGAGCGAACGGACGAGAAGCUGGCUUCUCUGAUGUUAGCGGCGGACGGGUGAGUAACACGUGGAUAACCUACCUAUAAGACUGGGAUAACUUCGGGAAACCGGAGCUAAUACCGGAUAAUAUUUUGAACCGCAUGGUUCAAAAGUGAAAGACGGUCUUGCUGUCACUUAUAGAUGGAUACGCGCUGCAUUAGCUAGUUGGUAAGGUAACGGCUUACCAAGGCAACGAUGCAUAGCCGACCUCAGAGGGUGAUCGCCCACACGGGCACUGAGACACGGUCCAGACUCCUACGGGAGGCCGCAGUAGGGAAUCUUACGCAAUGGGCGAAAGCCUGACAGAGCAACGCCGCGUGAGUGAUGAAGGUCUUAGGCUCGUAAAACUCUGUUAUUAGGAAAGAACAUAUGUGUAAGUAACUGUGCACAUCUUGACGGUACCUAAUCAGAAAGCUACGGCUAACUACGUG
This 497-nucleotide ribosomal RNA is filed under the name uncultured bacterium. Its description in RNAcentral is "partial 16S ribosomal RNA". It matches the Rfam family "Bacterial small subunit ribosomal RNA", at positions 28 to 507 of the family's 1533-position model. The record is from RNAcentral.